RNAcentral lists this ribosomal RNA (253 nucleotides) under uncultured bacterium. RNAcentral's name for it is "partial 16S ribosomal RNA". It matches the Rfam family "Bacterial small subunit ribosomal RNA", at positions 524 to 776 of the family's 1533-position model. The record is from RNAcentral.
UACGUAGGGUGCAAGCGUUAAUCGGAAUUACUGGGCGUAAAGCGUGCGCAGGCGGUUGUGCAAGACAGAUGUGAAAUCCCCGGGCUUAACCUGGGAACUGCAUCUGUGACUGCAUGGCUGGAGUGCGGCAGAGGGGGAUGGAAUUCCGGGUGUAGUGGUGAAAUGCGUAGAGAUCCGGAGGAACCCCAGAGGCGAAGGCGGCGCCCUGGCUCGACACUGACGCUCAGACACGACAGCAUGGGGAGCGAACGGG